UGUGAUUUGUGUUGUGUGUGUUUUUGAGUUGUGUGUGUAUGUGUUUUGUGGUGUGUGUGUUUUGGGUUGUGUGUUUUUGUGGUGUGUUUUAUACUGUAUUGCAGUUUUAUACAAUAGUUUAAUUCAGUUACCAGAUUUGCAAUUUUAGCCUUUUCUAAGUUUAUUUUAGGUUUUAGGUAGUUAGAUUUUUUGUUGUAACCUGUGUUGGUAGUUUGAAUUGUCUUUUAGUCAUAUUUUGUCAUUAGAAACUUUUUACGAUAGUUAGAUUGCAGUUUUGUAGACCUUGCCAAGCCGAGGUAUCUGUUUAUGUCCUCUUACGAACAGGUUAUUCUUUAUAUCUAUGCAUAAUUCGCUCCUUUUUAACAUUGUCUGAUAAAUUGUGUGUGUUUUUAGUUCCUUGAUGAUGCAGAUUGAAUAUCUAGAGACUGUAGACCUUGCCAAGUUGAGACACCGAUUUAUGUCCUCCUAUUAACAGAAGGUGCAACCCUUUGAUAAAAGAUAUCAGUACCUUCUGUUGCAGCUGAACCGUAUGAAAUAAUUGCAUUCAAGGUAUUUUCUUACUUUUGUUUGUGUGUUUUAACGUUAAAUUAAACUACGUAAACCUAUACAUAUUGCCCGUAGAUAUCCAAACACAGGCCGAUUCAAGAGAAUCCAAGUCAUUUCACUUUAAUUGUUUGCCCUUGUAACUAACAGCAGCAGAACUAGGUUGGUAAUUUCCUGUCUUCUUUUUUGCUUUCGUUUAUUUUGUUACUUAGUGAGAUUCUUAGUUAUUUGUUGUUUUUAGAUAUUGACUCUUGUCUUAGCUUUGUUUUAUAGUCUUACACUUGUUUAGAUAUGUUUCCAAGUGCUGUACAGAUUUUGCAUGGUUACUUGUCUACUUCUUAGUUCUUGAUUGUGAAUGACUUUUUGAGUUUCUAAUUUGAGUUGAUAGUUUCUAGUCAGUUUUACAACUUCUUUCAAUAGAAUUGAAUAGUUUUUACAUGAAAAGUCAGUUUUGAACCAGUUUUGACAAGAUUUUACCUACUGUGAGAUUUGAGCUUUACUUUCUUUCAUUGUAUGAUGCAUUCAUGUUUAUUUACAUUUUCAGAACUUGUAUUGUUUCUCUUCGAACUCUGACAGUUAGAUUUGCACUCUAGAGAUGAUAUUAGGCCAUGUUUGUUUCUAGUCAGCUAGCCAAAUAAAGCUCACCCUGAACUUAUCUCCUUUCCACCUGAAUUUUGUGCCCGAUUUACCUUUUUUUGUUCAUUUUAAGCUCAAUACAAGUCUUAGACCAGAAACACCAUGAAAAUGCCCAAAUCUUAGAGUUGUGAGAUGGUUUAGGAAGUGUUUAAGGAAUAUGUAAAGUUCAAGUGUAGGGAUCUGAAAAAUCUGAAGGUGUGGUCUGUUCUGACUUGGAAGAGAAAGGAGAGUGAAAAAAGAAAAGAAAGAAAAGUAGAAAAGAAAGAAAAAAAAAAGUGAAAAAGAAUAAGAAAUAUAGAAGGAAGUGAGUAAUAAAAUAUAUGAAAGAAGUUGGAAAAGAAAGGAGAAUUAAAAAAAAAAAGAGAAUGAAAAGUGGAAAAUAUGUGAAAGAAAGGAAGGAAGGGAUGAAUAAAGGUUGUGAAAGAGUUGAUGAUUCCAUGCACUUGAAUUCCACAUUUUCCACCUAGGUCUAUCUCACUUCUCUUUGAUUUUAGCUUUGAUCUUUUUCCUCUUUUUACCUCACCUAUACCUUGGCCACAUUACAAGCCUUGAUUCAAGUCCUAUUGAUCUUGAGUGCGUUUCUAAUUUGAUUGGUGUGAUUAGAAGCUUUCCAAGUUUAUGAUAAUGUGAAUUUGCAUAAUGUGCCUCUCCUACUGUGUGUAUUCAGGUUGGUUCAGGUAAAUCAUCCCUGUUAUAUUCAAUCCUUGGAGAAAUGCAGCUUGUUCGUGGCUCUGUUUAUUCCAAUGAAUCCACUGUUUAUGUACCACAGGUCCCUUGGAUUUUAUCUGGAACGGUGCGCAACAACAUAUUAUUCGGGAAAAGUUAUGAUCCUGAAAGGUAUACUGAUACACCGAAGGCAUGUGCAUUAGAUGUUGAUAUCUCAUUGAUGAUUGGAGGUGACAUGGCUUAUAUUGGAGAGAAAGGAGUCAACUUAUCGGGUGGACAGAUAUCAAUCGUAAAAGAUUCUUAUUUUGUCGUAUUGUGAAUUUCAUUCAUAGCCUGCCUCUACAAAUUGGAGUGGCUCUCUAUCUUUUGUAUACUCAAGUCAAAUUUGCAUUUGUAUCUGGAUUAGCAAUAACCAUUUUAUUGAUACCAGUAAAUAAAUGGAUAGCACAAUUGAUUGCAAGGGCUACUGAGCAGAUGAUGAAGGAGAAAGAUGAAAGGAUUCGUAAGACAGGAGAACUUUUGACUUCUAUUCGUACUUUGAAGAUGUAUGGAUGGGAACUUCUUUUUUCUAGUUGGUUGAUGGAUACAAGAUCUUUGGAAGUCAAACACUUAGCUACUCGAAAGUACUUGGAUGCGUGGUGUGUUUUCUUUUGGGCUACAACACCAACACUCUUCUCCCUUUUCACAUUUGGACUCUAUGCACUGAUGGGACAUCAACUUGAUGCUGCAAAGCUAUGCGGGUUGUGCGGGCUGUGCGUGCUCUGGAGGGAGCAGAGGAGAUAGUUGAUGUUGAGUUGAGGAAAGAGGGAAAAGUUGAAAGUACUUGGAUGCGUGGUGUGUUUCAUCCACUUUUAUAGACUAGAAAGUACUUGGAUGCGAGGUGUGUUUUCUUUUGGCUACAACACCAACACUCUUCUCCCUUUUCACAUUUGGACUCUACGCACUGAUGGGACAUCAACUUGAUGCUGCAAUGGUUUUCACUUGUCUUGCAUUGUUCAACCCCUUAUUUCACCACUAAAUUCAUUCCCUUAGGUAAUUAAUGGAUUGAUUGAUGCCAUCAUAUCUUCUGGACGGUUGAGUAGGUUUCUCGCUUGUCCUGAACAUAAAUUUAAAGUUGGAGACACAAAUUCCUGUCCAUAAUCAUUCCUAAGUGAACAGCCUGAUUCUGUUCAAGGUUUGGGUGUAUUUAUCCAAGAUACAUGUUGUACUUGGUCAAGUAGUGAGGAACAAGCAUUAAAUAUGGUGUUGAAUCAUACUCUCGAAUGAACCUUCAGAUGCUUCAACAGAGACAGAUACACCAAAUCGUGAAACAGGACUCAACUUUUCCUUCGGGUCACACCAAAAUUCAAAAUACUAUUGUUUAAGUCACACAUGCAUGUAUAAAUAUCAACUCCCCUUCUUUUUCUUCUUUCUUCUUCACGCUGUUAUUGUGCUUUUUCUUGUUCUGUCAAUUUUGUUUUCUCUCUAUUGCUUGAUUUGAAGUGUAAACUACACUUUUCUUUUCUUUUUUUUACUAUGUAUACUUAUUGUAUCAGUGGUCUUUUCAAAUGUGAAAAAUGCUUAGUUUCUAUUCUGUAUGUA
This is an unclassified non-coding RNA of Vigna unguiculata (cowpea), 3426 nucleotides long. Lineage: Eukaryota; Viridiplantae; Streptophyta; Magnoliopsida; Fabales; Fabaceae. The record is from RefSeq and is a predicted model, not a curated record.